GCGUGAGGUGUAGGGUCUAAGGUUUCAACUUUAGAUUUUGUGAGAAGAAAAAUAUAAGAGUGAGUCUUGUUCCAUCUCCCACAUCACCACCUCUUUGUAAAGCUUCAUCUUUUGAUCUAGAGGAGUCCAGGAGAUUCGAAGAAAGGAGCUUGGAUCAGCCAUCUAGAGCCUUCGAUGCGAGCUAGCACUUCCACGAAAGAAGAUCCGAUCAGGACUUCAAAUGGAUGAUCUGUAGAGGUCGGACGAUCUGUGUGGCUACU
RNAcentral lists this long non-coding RNA (260 nucleotides) under Elaeis guineensis (African oil palm). Its description in RNAcentral is "long non-coding RNA (EGUI_LNC045989)". Lineage: Eukaryota; Viridiplantae; Streptophyta; Magnoliopsida; Arecales; Arecaceae. The record is from RNAcentral.